Molecule: ribosomal RNA, 463 nt
Filed under: uncultured bacterium
Lineage: Bacteria
Description: partial 16S ribosomal RNA
Rfam family: Bacterial small subunit ribosomal RNA
Source: RNAcentral
GACGAACGCUGGCGGCGUGCUUAACACAUGCAAGUCGAACGGAAAGGCCUUUUCGGAGGUACUCGAGUGGCGAACGGGUGAGUAACACGUGGGUGAUCUGCCCUGCACUCUGGGAUAAGCCUGGGAAACUGGGUCUAAUACCGGAUAGGACCGCACUUUAGUGUAUGUGGUGGAAAGUUUUUUCGGUGUAGGAUGAGCCCGCGGCCUAUCAGCUUGUUGGUGGGGUAAUGGCCUACCAAGGCGGCGACGGGUAGCCGGACUGAGAGGUUGGUCGGCCACAUUGGGACUGAGAUACGGCCCAGACUCCUACGGGAGGCAGCAGUGGGGAAUAUGGCACAAUGGGCGCAAGCCUGAUGCAGCGACGCCGCGUGGGGGAUGACGGCCUUCGGGUUGUAAACUCCUUUCGCCAGGGACGAAGCGUUUUGUGACGGUACCUGGAGAAGAAGCACCGGCUAACUACGUG